AUAUCAAUAAGCGGAGGAAAAGAAACCAACAGGGAUUGCCUCAGUAACGGCGAGCGAAGCGGCAAAAGCUCAAAUUUGAAAUCUGGCGCUUUCAGCGUCCGAGUUGUAAUUUGAAGAAGCAACUUUGGGGUUGGCCUUUGCACAUGUUCCUUGGAACAGGACAUCAUAGAGGGUGAGAAUCCCGUACAUGGUGAGGUGCCCAACCCUUUGUAAAGUGCUUUCCAAGAGUCGAGUUGUUUGGGAAUGCAGCUCUAAGUGGGUGGUAAAUUCCAUCUAAGGCUAAAUAUUGGCGAGAGACCGAUAGCGAACAAGUACAGUGAUGGAAAGAUGAAAAGAACUUUGAAAAGAGAGUGAAAUAGUACGUGAAAUUGUUGAAAGGGAAGGGCUUGAAAUCAGACUUGGCUUGUAGUGAUCAACUGUCUCUUGGGACUGUGCACUCGCUGCUUGCUAGGCCAACAUCGGUUUUGGCGGUAAGAUAAUGUCAGUUGAAUGUGGCUCAUUCGUGAGUGUUAUAGCUUCUGUCGAUAUUGCCAGCUGGGACCGAGGACUGCGCUUUAUGCUAGGAUGUUGGCGUAAUGAUUUUAAGCCAC
RNAcentral lists this ribosomal RNA (590 nucleotides) under [Candida] sp. BG02-7-17-009B-1-1. Its description in RNAcentral is "eukaryotic LSU rRNA". It matches the Rfam family "Eukaryotic large subunit ribosomal RNA", at positions 40 to 648 of the family's 3401-position model. The record is from RNAcentral. Lineage: Eukaryota; Fungi; Ascomycota; Saccharomycetes; Saccharomycetales.